GACGAACGCUGGCGGCGUGCUUAACACAUGCAAGUCGAACGGAAAGGCCCUGCUUUUGUGGGGUGCUCGAGUGGCGAACGGGUGAGUAACACGUGAGUAACCUGCCCUUGACUUUGGGAUAACUUCAGGAAACUGGGGCUAAUACCGGAUAGGAGCUCCUGCUGCAUGGUGGGGGUUGGAAAGUUUCGGCGGUUGGGGAUGGACUCGCGGUUUAUCAGCUUGUUGGUGGGGUAGUGGCUUACCAAGGCUUUGACGGGUAGCCGGCCUGAGAGGGUGACCGGCCACAUUGGGACUGAGAUACGGCCCAGACUCCUACGGGAGGCAGCAGUGGGGAAUAUUGCACAAUGGGCGGAAGCCUGAUGCAGCAACGCCGCGUGCGGGAUGACGGCCUUCGGGUUGUAAACCGCUUUCGCCUGUGACGAAGCGUGAGUGACGGUAAUGGGUAAAGAAGCACCGGCUAACUACGUG
RNAcentral lists this ribosomal RNA (468 nucleotides) under uncultured bacterium. RNAcentral's name for it is "partial 16S ribosomal RNA". It matches the Rfam family "Bacterial small subunit ribosomal RNA", at positions 28 to 507 of the family's 1533-position model. The record is from RNAcentral.